CUUAAAUCAUAUUUCUGGUAAGUGUCAAAACACAAAUAGGUGUUUAAAUUCAACACAAAAAAAACCCACAAAUAUGCAUUUGUGUGUGGAUGAGAAGGGAUUUAACAAUUUCAUAUAUUACAUAGUUGGCAGAAGUACAAAAGGUAGCAUAGAGAUAAAGCUAAACCACCUCUUACUAAAAGAACACUAAGCCACUUGUACACAACCCCUGCUUAAAAUCUUCACAAGCAAGGGAAAAGGGAACAAAAAGGGAAAAAGAAAAGGAAAGUACACACCACUUCCCCUAUCAUCAUCCAAACUAAACAAUUUGAUGAGCUUGCUAAACUCGCUGCUCAUGCAGGCACAGUACUUUGCAGGUGCAACAUUGUGCAUUAAAAAUGACAAUGUACAAAAUAUUUUGAGGCGCUCCCCACAGUCACUGCUCAUGCAGAGAACAGAAUGCUUUGCAGAUGCAACAUUGUGCAUUAAAAAUGACAAUGUACAAAAUAUUUUGAGGCGCUCCCCACAGUCACUGCUCAUGCAGAGAACAGAAUGCUUUGCAGAUGCAACAUUGUGCAUUAAAAAUGACAAAGCUACACCUAGCAGAGCUCUUCUGAUCUUGCCUCAAGUUGAUUCUGUUCCGCAAUACAAUAACAAGCAUGCCUGAAAAAAGCAAGAAAUGAAAGCCAGCAAAUAAUAUAACACUUACCCAAACUGCUGGCUUUCUCUCUUAUUGGCAGCUAUGUGGACAGAAAAAGCUUCCAAUUCAUCUGAUUUCUGCUAUCUCACGCUAUUGAUGUUAAGCUUAACCUGCUACUAAAAUAACCAGAAAACAACCAAAAGAGCAGUAUAAAGAAAAAAAUUGUACAAGGAGUACCAGCAAAUCCACUUGGAAUUUCAAAACACAUGCCUUAGAACUGGUUUCUGCACAGCUUCCUCCUCAACUCCACCCACAGUUUUUAGCAACAUCCCAACAGCAGCAUUCGGCUCUAACUCUUCCCGCAAUCCAUCUUGAAAAACUCCACUGCCAUCUGCACACACAUUUUCCAAAUGACACAUUGAAUCUGCAUCACCAGAAUCACUUCGAGAGUAUCCCAGGUUAUUACUUCCUUCAACACUCCCAUCAGCGCUUCCAUUGUUCCCCUCAUUGCUGCCUGCUAUUGAUUCAUUUCCAUUAUCCUCACUUGAGCCAACCUCGCUUGAAAGGGAGGUGAUUACACUGGAAUUUGAUGUAAACCCCCCCUCAACAUCAUCAGAGCAAAAUCUCUUUUCAUCAAUUUGACACAUUUCAUUCCCUUCAGCAAAUGCCAAGCAUGUAGGAGAUGUGCCACCAAACUUGUGACUGAUAAUAUCAGGAGAAAAAGAAUCCCGCCUCAGAGGACUAAUUGAACAUCGUUUCUCUAGCAUAUCAUUUUUCACAUCCACUUCAUCAGGAUCCUUUUUCCUCUUAACGCCUCUCUCUCCAGAGCCAGUGCGACAAGCACCACCAUCUUCAUAGCAUGAUUUAUCAGACUGUUGCUGUGCUGUGACCCUAGGAUGUCGAGGACGUCUAUAACCAUCUGGAAAAACAUAUGAAGGGAUCUGCUUCCUACGCACAUGAGAGACAUAAAUUUCCAUUCCUGGUUUCCAAAACACAUACAUGUUUAUGGAAUGCCUAAAUUCAUCUACUGUCCCUCGGAUAUCAAACUGCUGCCCUUCCUGAAUUAUCUCCCCCUGUUUCCUCUGCAGGCCCAAAAAAAAAGCACAAUGGGCACAUGGUUUGGAGGCAUCCACGUACUCAUGAGGGUAUGGAUGACACUGCAACUUCCCGUAAGUGUCUCGCUCAAUCAUAAGAGUCAACUGCCUUAACCGGGAUUCCACCCAGCCUUUCCAAGAUCGCAAGUCAUCAACAUCUGCCGCGACUAUGUCAACCUGCAGGUAGUUUUUGUAGCUUUCAAAGAACAAGUGUGGCUCAAACAGAGUACUCCAUUGGGCUUUAUUCAGCUCUAUAUCCUCACAGAUCUUGUUACCAUACUGGAACUGCUCCAUCAUGACCCGUAGUGUACUCGUUGAUACAUUGUAGCUAGAAUUCAUGCAUGGAUAGGCAGGUGUUAUUAUUGGCAUAUGAUGAGUUCGGUCACGUGGAUUCUUACGGGGAUCCCAAACAGAAAAUCCAAGUUCAUCCUCUUCAAUUGGGCACAGCAUAACAGGGUUUGGCCAGCGCCACUGUGUAUAGACCCUAAAAAAUCUAGAAACAAGCAUACUAGGAAUUGCUUUAGGAUAAAGUUGGCACACUCGAGCAACAAGGAGAGCCCAGUUUACGCCACCAAGAAACCCGGUCACGUUGGAAUAAACACCACGUCUUUUAGCCCACAACUUCAAACACCGGAGUGUUGUGCAAAAAUGCUCAACAUUGGGAACAAGCUUAAGAAUUUGAUCAGCAACCCUGCAGCCAUUGAGACUUCGAACAGUAGGCUCGUCAACAUCAUAUAGAACAGAAACGUUCGAGAUGUCUAAGUCAUCUGGUACUACCAACAGAGAAAUACUUGCAUAAAGAAGAUCGAUUGAUAUUCCAUCAAACUUGAAUUUCAUCACAGGGACAUGAGCAUCAGGAACCGGUUGCAGCUCUGAAACUUCUUCCAUUUCUGACAAAAUGUUGUGCAAUACAAAGAAGAAGUCCUCCUCCCUAUUGACAUAAGAUGGCCCAACACAUAAUGUGUCAAUGUCAGCCCCAGGACCAUGUACCUGCCAACUCUUAAAUUUUAAGCAGGAUCUCAUUGACAACAAAAAAGCAUAUUGCACCAGAAAAGCAAUUAGCAGCAGGUCAAAAGACAGAAGUGCCUAGAACACUAGUAAUUAGCAUACAUAGGAUAAAAUAGCUUUUCCAAAUCCCAAUGAGAUGAUGUUGCCAACAUUGAAAGCAUUUAUCCACAACAAAAUAAGAGAAGCCCUACUAGACAACAAAAAAAGUCUAAACAUACGCCAAGCCGAUAAGAGCCAAAUGUGAAAAUGACAGCAUUGGCCUCCUCCACCAUUUGAUCUGUGUACCCUCUCAAGCGAGUAAGCUGCUUCACCCAAUCUUUUACAAUCUGCCCAAUCCGAUCCAGAACCCUCUCCCUCUUUGCGGCUUCCUCUUUGCUCUCAUAAAGGCCAGCAUCACUCAAGAACUUCUCCAAUUCACGGCUUCUUUGUAUAUCAGCUUCAGUUGGCCCCGACAUCGAUAUCGGUUUCGUUACGCCAUACUGCUUCGGCGGCGGAGAAGAACACAAUCCCUCCGAACUCAACAUCUCGGCACCCAAAUAGAACAAAACACCUAAAAAAACCCCUAAAUCAUUCGAAAAAAGACAAAUUUUGAUAAUGGAUUCAAUUACUCCACGAUGAAGCCUAGAACUAAACGAAAAAUCCCAAACCCGAAACCCUAAUUGCAAUAAAGCACAAUGAAAUAAAUAAAAUAAUAAAUAAUUGCAAACCCUAUAAAAAAAUAAUAAUAAUAAACAAAGACCCAGAGAAAGAAAACGCGCGAACAGAGACCUCAAGAACGACGAUAAGGGCGACUGGGUGGUGAGUUCGGAGAGACUGCUACAGGGGUUGGAGAGAAAGAGAAGAGUUGAAUUUUUUCGCGGAUGUUUUAAUCGGGUACAAGCG
Molecule: unclassified non-coding RNA, 3603 nt
Filed under: Hevea brasiliensis (rubber tree)
Lineage: Eukaryota; Viridiplantae; Streptophyta; Magnoliopsida; Malpighiales; Euphorbiaceae
Source: RNAcentral